This 267-nucleotide unclassified non-coding RNA is filed under the name uncultured fungus. RNAcentral's name for it is "partial contains 5.8S ribosomal RNA, internal transcribed spacer 2, and large subunit ribosomal RNA". The stretch from base 1 to 52 matches the Rfam family "5.8S ribosomal RNA", at positions 103 to 154 of the family's 154-position model. The record is from RNAcentral. Lineage: Eukaryota; Fungi.
AACGCACAUUGCGCCCGCCAGUACUCUGGCGGGCAUGCCUGUCCGAGCGUCAUUUCAACCCUCAGGUCCCCCUUCCGGGGGGGAGCUGGUGUUGGGGAUCGGCCGUCCCUCGCGGCGGCCGGCCCUGAAAUUCAGUGGCGGCACCACCGCGACCUCCUCUGCGUAGUAGCGAUACCUCGCAGCUGGAUAGCGGAGGCGACCAGCCGUGAAACCCCCAUCUUUUACAAGGUUGACCUCGGAUCAGGUAGGAAUACCCGCUGAACUUAA